CCUACGGGUGGCAGCAGUAGGGAAUAUUGCUCAAUGGGGGAAACCCUGAAGCAGCAACGCCGCGUGGAGGAUGAAGGUUUUCGGAUUGUAAACUCCUUUUCUCAGGGACGAAGCAAGUGACGGUACCUGAGGAAUAAGCCACGGCUAACUACGUGCCAGCAGCCGCGGUAAUACGUAGGUGGCAAGCGUUAUCCGGAUUUACUGGGUGUAAAGGGCGUGUAGGCGGGACUGCAAGUCAGAUGUGAAAACCACGGGCUCAACCUGUGGCCUGCAUUUGAAACUGUAGUUCUUGAGUACUGGAGAGGCAGACGGAAUUCCUAGUGUAGCGGUGAAAUGCGUAGAUAUUAGGAGGAACACCAGUGGCGAAGGCGGUCUGCUGGACAGCAACUGACGCUGAGGCGCGAAAGCGUGGGGAGCAAACAGGAUUAGAUACCCUAGUAGUC
Molecule: ribosomal RNA, 443 nt
Filed under: uncultured bacterium
Lineage: Bacteria
Description: partial 16S ribosomal RNA
Rfam family: Bacterial small subunit ribosomal RNA
Source: RNAcentral